RNAcentral lists this ribosomal RNA (497 nucleotides) under uncultured bacterium. Its description in RNAcentral is "partial 16S ribosomal RNA". It matches the Rfam family "Bacterial small subunit ribosomal RNA", at positions 28 to 507 of the family's 1533-position model. The record is from RNAcentral.
GAUGAACGCUGGCGGCGUGCCUAAUACAUGCAAGUCGAGCGAACAGACGAGGAGCUUGCUCCUCUGACGUUAGCGGCGGACGGGUGAGUAACACGUGGAUAACCUACCUAUAAGACUGGGAUAACUUCGGGAAACCGGAGCUAAUACCGGAUAAUAUAUUGAACCGCAUGGUUCAAUAGUGAAAGACGGUUUUGCUGUCACUUAUAGAUGGAUCCGCGCUGCAUUAGCUAGUUGGUAAGGUAACGGCUUACCAAGGCAACGAUGCGUAGCCGACCUGAGAGGGUGAUCGGCCACACUGGAACUGAGACACGGUCCAGACUACUACGGGAGGCAGCAGUAGGGAAUCUUCCGCAAAGGGCGAAAGCUUGACGGAGCAACGCCGCGUGAGUGAUGAAGGUCUUCGGAUCGUAAAACUCUGUUAUUAGGGAAGAACACAUGUGUAAGUAAAUGUGCACGUCUUGACGGUACCUAAUCAGAAAGCCACGGCUAACUACGUG